UGCAUCUGUUAUGCGGCGGAAUGAAGCUUAUUCGGUCAUUGUGGAUGGAUGGGCACAACAUUGUGAUGAUUUGAGGACCGCAUAGAUUGACAGGUAUGAGUUUUGCUAAUGAAAUUUAUAUGUACUAUGCAGACUUUUGACAUUUGAGGAUCGUAUCAAUUGCUGGACAGUGUAUAAACUCUGGACUCCAGAGUUGCGUUUGAUGAAGUAGGCGGUGGUAAUAUUCAGCUCAUCAAUAUUGUGCGCCUCUGCAAUCUCUGUUGUUGAACACAAACUGAGGGUGAUGUUCAACAAACAUUUAAGUCCUGAACAUAGAGUUGCUCUACUUUCCCUGCGAGAAUACUCUUGGAUUCAUGAUGCAUUAAUGUAGAAUAGACCUGAAUCCUUCAAAGUUUA
Papaver somniferum (opium poppy) is the source of this 396-nucleotide long non-coding RNA. RefSeq lists it as uncharacterized. The transcript is spliced from 2 exons. The record is from RefSeq and is a predicted model, not a curated record. NCBI's taxonomy places the organism in Eukaryota, Viridiplantae, Streptophyta, Magnoliopsida, Ranunculales, Papaveraceae.